GAUGAACGCUGGCUUUUGUGCUUAACACAUGCAAGUCGAACGAAGCCAAAAGGAAGCUUGCUUUCUUUGAAACUUAGUGGCGGACGGGUGAGUAACGCGUGAGGAACCUGCCCUUCAGUGGGGAAUAACAGCCGGAAACGGCUGCUAAUACCACAUAACGUUUUUGUGCCGCAUGACACUUCAACCAAAGAUUUAUCGCUGAGAGAUGGGCUCGCGUCCGAUUAGGUAGAUGGUGGGGUAACGGCCUACCAUGCCGACGAUCGGUAGCCGGACUGAGAGGUUGAUCGGCCACAUUGGGACUGAGACACGGCCCAGACUCCUACGGGAGGCAGCAGUGGGGGAUAUUGCGCAAUGGGGGCAACCCUGACGCAGCAACGCCGCGUGAAGGACGAAGGUCUUCGGAUUGUAAACUUCUUUUGUCAGGGACGAAAUCUGACGGUACCUGACGAAUAAGCUCCGGCUAACUAC
Molecule: ribosomal RNA, 468 nt
Filed under: uncultured bacterium
Lineage: Bacteria
Description: bacterial SSU rRNA
Rfam family: Bacterial small subunit ribosomal RNA
Source: RNAcentral